GGCCAACAUUGGUGGAAAAUAAAUCUCCUGCUCCUGCAAAAGGAAUGAAUUGGUCCUUUGCUGCUGGCACAAAUUUAUUUCCUGGUCUCACUGCAAAGAUAGACAGAGAGUCCAAGCAGAAGCUUAAUGAAUUUGCCAAAGAAAUUAGGUCAUUCAGCAUUGUUGACAUGUCAGGGUGUAACUUUGGAGAUGAAGGACUAUUUUUCCUUGCUGAGAGCUUAGCAUACAAUCAGUUGCUUUCAGACUCUAGAGGAAGUGAGUUUUGCUGCAAAUGGAAUAACUGCUGAAGGAAUAAAAGCCUUUGAUCGUGUUCUUCAGUCAAACUUUGUAUUAAAGACUCUAAACUNNNNNGAAACCCUAUUGGAGAUGAAGGAGCUAAGAGUCUAUGUGAUAUAUUAGUAGAUAAUAACAGUAUUGAAAAGCUCCAGCUGAACAGCGCAGACCUGGGUGAUGAGGGUGCAAAGGCAAUUGCAGACUUGCUGAAGAAAAAUUCAAAUCUGCGUGUGAUUGAGCUUAAUAACAAUAUGAUUGAUUAUUCUUAGGGAUUUACAAGUCUUGCUGGAGCAUUUUUGGAGAAUGCCACUGUACGAAGUAUAUAUCUCAAUGGCAAUUAUGGUGGCGCUUUGGGGGCUAAUGCUUUGGCUAAGGGACUUGAGGGAAACAAGUCAUUAAGGGAACUUCAUUUGCAAGGAAAUUCUAUUGGAGAUGAAGGAGUUCGUGCCUUGAUGUCGGGUUUGUCUGCCAGUAAAGUGAAACUUACCCAUCUAGACCUUGGAAACAACUCUAUUAGUGCAAAGGGAGCCUUUCACAUUGCUGAAUAUGUAAAGAAGAGCGNNNNNNNNNNNNNUGUACAUGAAUGACAUCAGUGAUCAGGGUGCCGAAAAAGUUGCAGAAGCUCUAAAGCAGAACCGGAGUUUAGCAAUAAUAGACUUGGGUGGAAAUAACAUCCAUGCCAAGGGGAUUAGUGAGAUAGCUCAAGUUUUGAAAGACAACUCUGUCAUAUCAACAUUGGAAGUUGGUUAUAAUCCUAUUGGACCUGAUGGAGCCGAGGCAUUAUCUGAAGUUCUUAAGUUUCAUGGAAGCAUAAAAUCCUUAAAGCUUGGUUGGUGCCAGAUAGGAGCAAAAGGCGCUGAGUACAUUGCAGAUACACUGAAAUAUAAUAAUACCAUAACAAUUCUAGACUUGCGA
RNAcentral lists this unclassified non-coding RNA (1188 nucleotides) under Hevea brasiliensis (rubber tree). Lineage: Eukaryota; Viridiplantae; Streptophyta; Magnoliopsida; Malpighiales; Euphorbiaceae. The record is from RNAcentral.